Gasterosteus aculeatus aculeatus (three-spined stickleback) is the source of this 1370-nucleotide long non-coding RNA. Lineage: Eukaryota; Metazoa; Chordata; Actinopteri; Perciformes; Gasterosteidae. The record is from Ensembl.
UGUACGACGGCGAUACGAGCCGGCGUUAAAUAACUGAAAACCGUCUCUGCCAACGCCACGGCGCCACCCUCCAUCCUGUCGGCGCCGGCUGUCAUCCUCUUACUUCUGGCUCUUUUCUUUCCUCCUCGUCGGCGGCGAUGAUGCUGGCGGGUAAAACACGGAGGAAACGGGGAGUACGUGUUGUGCAUAAACUACACGUGCUCGCUUAGUGGAUCGUGCUCCUCCCACAGAACAUGAACGCCCUCCACCAGAGAACCUGAUGUCUCUGCCAGUGGAUUCUGAUCACCUAGUUAAAAGCAUCACGUCAUAUUCUAAGUCUGAAUCGGGUGUUUGAUGCUGGCGGGCCAUGGCGUUGUCCCAUGGCGGGACGAACUGGUUACUAUGGAAACUACCUAUAUGCGUAAGGUUAAGACUGAUUAAUUGCUGUGAGCUGAUUUUUUUUUUUCCAGACUAUCAGUAAUCUCAUGUAUUUAGUUUCCCAUUUUAGCAAAGCGAUCUGAGCCAACCUGAGAUCUCUUCUAGAGGCUCUUAUUCUGAAAUGCCCUUCCACAGGAAGUAAAGCGGAUGUUGUUUCAGAACACCGAGCCGCCGCCUUGAUGUGGUUUUAAUAUCCCCAGACCCCACGGGAUCCGUUUUCAACGGCCCUUUCUUCGGUUUAAUGCUGAUUUUUAAAGUUUGACGCCGUGAACUAUUGAUGAAGCAGUUUCAGGGUCUUUUGUCAAAACGACGGCGCCAUCAAUAAAUCAUAGCAUGAAGCCUCCGAGCGAGCCUGUGAUGUCUCAUGAAUAAAACCUCUAUGCAAACAGGCAGAAGCCAGUCAGGAGGGUGUGUGUGUGUGUGUGUGUGUGUCAGGAUUUCAGCCCCACCAGAUGGUGCCUCCAGGUGGAGCAGCUUGACAUCACGGCUGUAUGGCAGUUUAGAGUCUGUUUCUGUUGGGACACACAGACAUCACUUGCCUCCACAGUUUGUGGGGGUGUUGUGUGUGUGUGUGUGUGUGUGUGUGUGUGUGUGUGGUGUUGCCACGUUAGUGCUGCUUCUCUCUCUGCUUGUAACACGCAACCGAGGUGCUGAUUAAAUAUUCCUGGUGUCACCGCACUUCUCCGUCACCAGGUGAAGGGAAGACAUUCGACCCCCCCCCCCCCCCCCAAAAGCCCGGCGGCCAUUAGCCCGGUCUGGAACGGCCCCGAAUGCACAGAACGGGUCUCCAUGGCAACGUAUACGCCACUGCUUCGCGUGGCGCCAAGUCGCGCUGACCAGACGGAUCCUUUGCGUGAGCCGCUGUUCAGGUGGAGGGGGAGAGCGUAUGAACAGGCCUGUUUAAAAAUGAUGAAUAAAUAUUCAUGUGUCUCUCUGCCCCCUCCCCCCCACAG